CAACCUGUGACCUCAUUUCCUCUUUAACAACAGAGUAUGAUUUCAAAGGCUGGGACUUACUGUAAGCUCCACUAACUCAACAUGACUAGGGCUUUUAUAGCAUUGAUUCUGUUACUGCACUGGAGCCAAGGCACCGAGGGUGAAGACGAUGUGGUUCAAAAGCCUGAAAUUAUUUGGGAACCAAAGAACGGUUCCGCUUCUUUAAAUUGCAAACACAAUAAGGGUGCUUCCUACUACCAGAUGUACUGGUACCGACAGCGUCCAGGAGAGACUAUGACACUCAUUGUAUUUACUAUGGUUGGCAGUCAACCAGACUUCGGAGAGGUUGAUAACAAGAAAUUCGAAGCUCAGAAAAGUAACGCUGAAAGCGGAUCUUUGAAAGUGACCGCUCUAGAGCCAGAUGACAGUGCCUUAUAUUUCUGCGCAGUGAGUCAACACACUGUGUCAAAGACUGGGGAGUGCUGUACAAAAACAAAAAAAAACAGAAAAUGACAGCAUUAGUCAACAGGUGGCGGUCUGGGACAACCAAUGUGCCACGUGUCAAAAUUGAGUUAGUUUACUUCAUUAAAAUAUUAUUCUGAAAUCAGAGGAUUCCUGCUGAUUUAAUAUGUAGUUUUAUAUUAGUAAAUAAUAUUAAUGUUUAUAUAUGUUCAGUGUUAAAUGCAAAUUAUCAUUUAUAGACAGUAAAACACUUAUACAAAGUAAAUUUAUAACUUUUUUCAUAUCCAAAUGGAGCUAUUUUUAUGUCCUGCCAGCUGUUGAAUUAUUGAUCAACAGGGGGCAGUGUGAUUUAAGAAAUUAAAAUUUUAUCUGCAAAGCAAAUCAAAACACAUACACAGUAGCUGCACAUCAUUUAUGAUCUUCAUACCUUUGUAGAGAGGAACCUUAGUUUUUAAGUCUGUAUCACAGUCCUCAUACUUCAUUAGGUCUUGCAUUAUGAACACUCUUCAUAAUAUAUUUAUAUAUCUAACAAUGUUGACAGGUACGUAUAACAAUAUUUACUUUACGUACAUUACACAUAGUUUUUAAGUCUAAUUUUUUUUUCUUCUUCACAGCUGUCUGUCUUGGUAAAACUGUUCUCCAGACACCCGAUACACUUUCGAAGAAGCAAAGUGAAUUUGCUGUGAUUGUAUGCGCUCACAAUAUACCGAGCUAUGACCGAAUAUUGUGGUACAAACAAAGUCGUGAUGUGUUGGGC
Non-coding RNA from Puntigrus tetrazona (Sumatra barb), 1198 nucleotides. The record is from the annotation of a RefSeq genome assembly. Lineage: Eukaryota; Metazoa; Chordata; Actinopteri; Cypriniformes; Cyprinidae.